This 107-nucleotide small nuclear RNA is filed under the name Microcebus murinus (gray mouse lemur). Lineage: Eukaryota; Metazoa; Chordata; Mammalia; Primates; Cheirogaleidae. The record is from RNAcentral.
GUGCUCACCCUGGCAGCACAUAUACUAAAAUUAGAAUGAUAUAGAGAAGAUUAGCACGGCCCCUGAACAAGAAUGACAGGCAAAUUCAUGAAGUGUUACAUAUUUUU